GACGAACUUUGGCGGCGCGCCUAACACAUGCAAGUCAAACGAGAGAGAGGGAGCUUGCUUCCUCAAUCGAGUGGCGAACGGGUGAGUAACGCGUGAGGAACCUGCCUCAAAGAGGGGGACAACAGUUGGAAACGACUGCUAAUACCGCAUAAGCCCACAGGUCGGCAUCGACCAGAGGGAAAAGGAGCACUCCGCUUUGAGAUGGCCUCGCGUCCGAUUAGCUAGUUGGUGAGGUAAUGGCCCACCAAGGCGACGGUCGGUAGCCGGACUGAGAGGUUGAACGGCCACUUUGGGACUGAGACACGGCCCAUACUCCUACGGGAGGCAGCAGUGGGGAAUAUUGCACAAUGGGGGAAACCCUGAUGCAGCGACGCCGCGUGGAGGAAGAAGGUCUUCGGAUUGUAAACUCCUGUUGUUGAGGAAGAUAAUGACGGUACUCAACAAGGAAGUGACGGCUAACUACGUGCCAGCAGCCGCGGUAAAACGUAGGUCACAAGCGUUGUCCGGAAUUACUGGGUGUAAAGGGAGCGCAGGCGGGAAGACAAGUUGGAAGUGAAAUCUCUGGGCUCAACCAAUAAACUGCUUUCAAAACUGUUUUUCUUGAGUAGAGCAGAGGUAGGCGGAAUUCCCGGUGUAGCGGUGGAAC
This 646-nucleotide ribosomal RNA is filed under the name uncultured bacterium. RNAcentral's name for it is "bacterial SSU rRNA". It matches the Rfam family "Bacterial small subunit ribosomal RNA", at positions 28 to 687 of the family's 1533-position model. The record is from RNAcentral.